UACGGGGGGGCAAGCGUUGUUCGGAAUUACUGGGCGUAAAGGGCUCGUAGGUGGCCAACUAAGUCGGACGUGAAAUCCCACGGCUCAACCGUGGAACUGCUGGGCAUACUGGCGUUCUUGAGCCAAUCAGGGGUCGCCGGAACAAACGGUGGAGCGGUGAAAUGCGUAGAUAUCGUUUGGAACGCCGAAGGCGAAAGCAGGCGACUGGGAUUGCGCUGACGCUGAGACACGAAAGCCAGGGGAGCGAACGGG
This 252-nucleotide ribosomal RNA is filed under the name uncultured bacterium. RNAcentral's name for it is "partial 16S ribosomal RNA". It matches the Rfam family "Bacterial small subunit ribosomal RNA", at positions 524 to 776 of the family's 1533-position model. The record is from RNAcentral.